This 1459-nucleotide ribosomal RNA is filed under the name metagenome. Its description in RNAcentral is "bacterial LSU rRNA". It matches the Rfam family "Bacterial large subunit ribosomal RNA", at positions 1439 to 2925 of the family's 2925-position model. The record is from RNAcentral.
CCUCACUGCCAUAUAUCAGAAAUGUGGGGGCGCAUCAGGAAAGUGUGGGCCGGGAAAGGAAAGACCGGUGCAAGCGGAGGAGGGGACAUGCAGGCAAAUCCGCAUGUCAACCCAAGAGCGUUAUGCGGAGCGAAGAACAGUAGCGAAGCACACGGACAGGGUGCCGAGAAAAGCCGCUAUCGUGUAUAUGGUACCCGUACCGUAAACCGACACAGGUGGAUGAGGAGAGAAUCCUAAGGCCGGCGGGAGAAGCAUUGUUAAGGAACUCGGCAAAAUGGCCCCGUAACUUAGGGAUAAGGGGUGCCACAGUGAUGUGGCCGCAGAGAAUAGGCUCAAGCAACUGUUUAGCAAAAACACAGGUCUAUGCGAAACCGAGAGGUGAGGUAUAUGGGCUGACGCCAGCCCGGUGCUGGAAGGUUAAGAGGAGAGAUCAGGAAACGAAGCCUUGAAUUGAAGCCCCAGUAAACGGCGGCCGUAACGAUAACGGUCCUAAGGUAGCGAAAUUCCUUGUCGGGUAAGUUCCGACCCGCACGAAAGGCGUAAUGAUUUGAGCGCUGUCUCGACAAUGCACCCGGUGAAAUUGAAGUACCAGUGAAGAUGCUGGUUACCCGCGCCAGGACGGAAAGACCCCAUGGAGCUUUACUCCAGCUUGAUACUGGGAUCCGGUGUCCAAUGUACAGGAUAGGUGGGAGGCUGAGAGCCAUGAACGCAAGUUUAUGGGGAGCCGCUGUUGGGAUACCACCCUUUGGGUACUGGAUUUCUAACCUGCGCCCGUGACCCGGGCGGGGGACAAUGUCUGGCGGGGAGUUUGACUGGGGCGGUCGCCUCCGAAAGGGUAUCGGAGGCGCUCAAAGGUUCACUCAGAAUGGUCGGAAACCAUUCGGAGAGCGCAAAGGCAGAAGUGAGCCUGACUGUGACACCGACGGGUGGAACAGGUACGAAAGUAGGACUUAGUGAUCCGGUGGUAUAAAGUGGGAUUGCCAUCGCUCAACGGAUAAAAGCUACCCUGGGAUAACAGGCUGAUCACUCCCAAGAGUUCACAUCGACGGAGUGGUUUGGCACCUCGAUGUCGGCUCAUCGCAUCCUGGGGCUGUAGCAGGUCCCAAGGGUUGGGCUGUUCGCCCAUUAAAGCGGUACGCGAGCUGGGUUCAGAACGUCGUGAGGCAGUUCGGUCCCUAUCCGGCGCGGGCGGAGGAUAUCAGAGAGGAGCUGUCCUUAGUACGAGAGGACCGGGAUGGACGGACCGCUGGUGCAUCUGUUGGAUACCAGAUCCAUGGCAGAGUAGCCAAGUCCGGCAGGGAUAAACGCUGAAGGCAUCUAAGCGUGAAGCCCCCCUCAGGAUGAGAUAUCCCAUUCAUAGAGAAUGUAAGACCCCUUAGAGACUAUGAGGUAGAUAGGGCAUGGGUGUAAGUGCAGAGAUGCACUGAGCUGAAUGUCACUAAUAGGUCGAGGGCUUAUC